This 494-nucleotide ribosomal RNA is filed under the name uncultured bacterium. RNAcentral's name for it is "bacterial SSU rRNA". It matches the Rfam family "Bacterial small subunit ribosomal RNA", at positions 19 to 518 of the family's 1533-position model. The record is from RNAcentral.
AUGGCUCAGGAUGAACGCUAGCGACAGGCCUAACACAUGCAAGUCGAGCGGCAGCACCUCGGGUGGCGAGCGGCGCACGGGUGAGUAACGCGUAUGUAACCUGCCCAUGAGUGGGGGAUAGCCCGGUGAAAACCGGAUUAAUACCGCAUAAUACCAUUAUUAGACAUCUUAGAAUGGUUAAAGAUUCAUUGCUCAUGGAUGGACAUGCGUUGGAUUAGCUAGUCGGCGGGGCAACGGCCCACCGAGGCUACGAUCCAUAGGGGUUCUGAGAGGAAGGUCCCCCACAUUGGUACUGAGACACGGACCAAACUCCUACGGGAGGCAGCAGUGAGGAAUAUUGGUCAAUGGGCGGAAGCCUGAACCAGCCAAGUCGCGUGAAGGAUGAAGGUAUUAUGUAUUGUAAACUUCUUUAGCUGUGGAGAAAUAAGGUGGUCGAGACCACCGAUGCUAGUACACAGAGAAUAAGGAUCGGCUAACUCCGUGCCAGCAGCCGC